This 261-nucleotide long non-coding RNA is filed under the name Malus domestica (apple). Its description in RNAcentral is "long non-coding RNA (MDOM_LNC002066)". The record is from RNAcentral. Lineage: Eukaryota; Viridiplantae; Streptophyta; Magnoliopsida; Rosales; Rosaceae.
AAGUACAUAAUAUUGAGACUCGUCAGAUCCAUCGUAAAACAUAUAGGUUACAUUAUCCUAGAUGUCUUUCGUACUGAGUAACUCAAGAAAUAGGCCAAGAAUAUGAGAGACUCCAUUGUUUUCAGCAGCCAUUUGUUGUACCCUGGACUAGUGUCAUCGAGCUGUGGCGUCUGUCUAUUCAGAAAUCCUAUUUUCUCCAACCUAGCAUCAUGUACGUCCAUUCUUGACCAGACCUUGAAGCUUGAGUCGGUUAGUUUGAAC